GACGAACGCUGGCGGCGUGCUUAACACAUGCAAGUCGAACGGAAAGGCCCUGCUUUUGUGGGGUGCUCGAGUGGCAAACGGGUGAGUAACACGUGAGUAACCUGCCCUUGACUUUGGGAUAACUUCAGGAAACUGGGGCUAAUACCGGAUAGGAGCUCCUGCUGCAUGGUGGGGGUUGGAAAGUUUCGGCGGUUGGGGAUGGACUCGCGGCUUAUCCGCUUGUUGGUGGGGUAGUGGCUUACCACGGCUUUGACGGGUAGCCGGCCUGAGAGGGUGACCGGCCACAUUGGGACUGAGAUACGGCCCAGACUCCUACGGGAGGCAGCAGUGGGGAAUAUUGCACAAUGGGCGGAAGCCUGAUGCAGCAACGCCGCGUGCGGGAUGACGGCCUUCGGGUUGUAAACCGCUUUCGCCUGUGACGAAGCGUGAGUGACGGUAAUGGGUAAAGAAGCACCGGCUAACUACGUG
RNAcentral lists this ribosomal RNA (468 nucleotides) under uncultured bacterium. Its description in RNAcentral is "partial 16S ribosomal RNA". It matches the Rfam family "Bacterial small subunit ribosomal RNA", at positions 28 to 507 of the family's 1533-position model. The record is from RNAcentral.